Molecule: ribosomal RNA, 254 nt
Filed under: uncultured bacterium
Lineage: Bacteria
Description: partial 16S ribosomal RNA
Rfam family: Bacterial small subunit ribosomal RNA
Source: RNAcentral
UACGUAGGGUGCGAGCGUUGUCCGGAAUUAUUGGGCGUAAAGAGCUUGUAGGCGGUUUGUCGCGUCUGCUGUGAAAAUCCGAGGCUCAACCUCGGACUUGCAGUGGGUACGGGCAGACUAGAGUGUGGUAGGGGAGACUGGAAUUCCUGGUGUAGCGGUGGAAUGCGCAGAUAUCAGGAGGAACACCGAUGGCGAAGGCAGGUCUCUGGGCCACUACUGACGCUGAGAAGCGAAAGCAUGGGGGAGCGAACAGG